UGGGGAAUAUUGCACAAUGGGCGAAAGCCUGAUGCAGCGACGCCGCGUGAGGGAUGACGGCCUUCGGGUUGUAAACCUCUUUCAGCAGGGAAGAAGCGAAAGUGACGGUACCUGCAGAAGAAGCGCCGGCUAACUACGUGCCAGCAGCCGCGGUAAUACGUAGGGCGCAAGCGUUGUCCGGAAUUAUUGGGCGUAAAGAGCUCGUAGGCGGUUAGUCGCGUCUGCUGUGAAAACUCGAGGCUCAACCUCGGGCUUGCAGUGGGUACGGGCUGACUAGAGUGCGGUAGGGGUGACUGGAAUUCCUGGUGUAGCGGUGGAAUGCGCAGAUAUCAGGAGGAACACCGAUGGCGAAGGCAGGUCACUGGGCCGCAACUGACGCUGAGGAGCGAAAGCAUGGGGAGCGAACAGGAUUAGAUAGCCCUGGUAGUCCAUGCCGUAAACGUUGGGCACUAGGUGUGGGUCCAUUCCACGGAUUCCGUGCCGCAGCAAA
This 490-nucleotide ribosomal RNA is filed under the name uncultured bacterium. RNAcentral describes it as "partial 16S ribosomal RNA". It matches the Rfam family "Bacterial small subunit ribosomal RNA", at positions 355 to 855 of the family's 1533-position model. The record is from RNAcentral.